Molecule: non-coding RNA, 73 nt
Organism: Caenorhabditis brenneri
Lineage: Eukaryota; Metazoa; Nematoda; Chromadorea; Rhabditida; Rhabditidae
Source: the annotation of a GenBank genome assembly
UUGUGGCCGAAUGGCCUAGUGGUAUGAUUCUCGCUUUGGGUGCGAGAAGUCUCGGGUUCAACCCCCCCACAAA